AACAAACGCUGGCGGCGUGCCUAAUACAUGCAAGUCGAACGAGGAAAGUAGCAAUAUGAGUACUAGUGGCGCACGGGUGAGAAACGCGUGGGUAAUCUGCCUUAGAGUGGGGGAUAACCAAUCGAAAGAUUGGCUAAUACCGCAUAAGACCACAGGAGCUGAGGCUCUAGGGGUAAAAGGUUUUUCGCUCUAAGAUGAGCCCGCGUAGGAUUAGCUAGUUGGUAGGGUAACGGCCUACCAAGGCAACGAUCCUUAGCUGGUCUGAGAGGAUGAUCAGCCACACUGGAACUGAGACACGGUCCAGACUCCUACGGGAGGCAGCAGUAGGGAAUAUUGCGCAAUGGGGGAAACCCUGACGCAGCGACGCCGCGUGAGUGAUGAAGGACUUCGGUUCGUAAAGCUCUGUUGCAAGGGAAAAAGUUCUGAUUGUACCUUGUGAGGAAGGGUCGGCUAACUUCGUGCCAGCCGCCGCGGUAA
Molecule: ribosomal RNA, 477 nt
Filed under: uncultured bacterium
Lineage: Bacteria
Description: partial 16S ribosomal RNA
Rfam family: Bacterial small subunit ribosomal RNA
Source: RNAcentral